GAUGAACGCUAGCGGCAGGCCUAAUACAUGCAAGUCGAACGGGAUCCAGAUCAAAGCUUGCUUUGGUUUGGUGAGAGUGGCGCACGGGUGCGUAACGCGUGAGCAACCUACCCUUGUCAGGGGGAUAGCCCGGCGAAAGUCGGAUUAAUACCGCAUGACAUCUUUGAGAGGCAUCUUUCGAUGAUCAAAGAUUUAUCGGACAAGGAUGGGCUCGCGUGACAUUAGCUAGUUGGUAAGGUAACGGCUUACCAAGGCUACGAUGUCUAGGGGCUCUGAGAGGAGAAUCCCCCACACUGGUACUGAGACACGGACCAGACUCCUACGGGAGGCAGCAGCAAGGAAUAUUGGUCAAUGGACGGAAGUCUGAACCAGCCAUGCCGCGUGCAGGAAGACGGCCCUAUGGGUUGUAAACUGCUUUUAUACGGGAACAAACGUCGGUACGUGUACCGGUCUGAGUGUACCGUAAGAAUAAGGAUCGGCUAACUCCGUG
Molecule: ribosomal RNA, 490 nt
Filed under: uncultured bacterium
Lineage: Bacteria
Description: partial 16S ribosomal RNA
Rfam family: Bacterial small subunit ribosomal RNA
Source: RNAcentral